RNA transcript from Morus notabilis, 1195 nucleotides. It is a transcript of the gene named U4/U6.U5 small nuclear ribonucleoprotein 27 kDa protein, with no coding region annotated. Lineage: Eukaryota; Viridiplantae; Streptophyta; Magnoliopsida; Rosales; Moraceae. The transcript is spliced from 3 exons. The record is from RefSeq and is a predicted model, not a curated record.
CGGUUCGAACAAAGAAGCCUCAAUAACUUUAAGCCAUGGAAUCCUCCUCUACUUUCCUCAUCACUCACAAUGGGCGACCGUGAACGAGACAGGGACCGAGACCGGGACAGAGACCGAGAAAGACGCCGCGACAGAGACGACCGUGAUCGUGGCCGCAGCAAGAGGUCCCAUACUCCCGACCGCACCCGAUCCCGCCACCCCCGCUCUCCCGACCGCUACCGCUCCCGCACCCUCUCCCGCUCCCGCUCCCCCCCUGACGACCGCUCCCACCGCCGCCGCCACCACCACCACCGGACUCCCUCUCCGGAGUCCCGCAAGCGCCACCGCCGCGAUUCAACCGCCGACGACGAGAGGGAGAGGCAGAAGGUGGUGUCGGACUUCGUCGACCGGAUCGCUAAGGAGCAGCAGAAGCAGAAGAGGCAGAGCGAUAAUGGCAGUGAAGGAGGAGAAGGAGAGAGAGAGGAGGAGGGAGGAGGAGGAGGAGAAGAGGGAGGAAUGAACGAGGACGAGAUGGAGAUGAUGAGGAUGAUGGGGAUUCCGAUGGGCUUCGACUCCACCAAGGGGAAGCAGGUCGCCGGCGCUGACGUCAGCGGCGUUAAGGCCGUUACCAAGCGCCAGCCCCGCCAGUACAUGAACCGCCGCGGGGGAUUCAACCGCCCCUUGCCCGCCGAGCGUACUCGCUGAGACCGGUCACUGUUUCCCAAAUCCGAACCAGGUGCAUGAAAGCCAUCAACCGGGAGCAAAGGAGUAAAGCCAUAAUUGGCAUCUGGAUCAGCCAUUAUGAUAAUACCAAGGUGUGCUAAAUUUGGACGACUGAUCCCAAAAUCCAAUUUUCUUUAUCCAUUAUAGUGCCCGUCUGUUUGCAAACUUUCUUUUAAAAAUAAGGAGAACCACACUGAUACCCCUCGAGGUUUGUUAAAAUUACAACACUACCCCCUCCGGACUGUAAUUUUUUACGUCAACACCCUUUGGAAAGGUUUUCUUGGGUCGCAGGCGCUUGACAUGGAUCGGCUUGGUCAUGGUUUGACUACAUAGAAAGGUUUGACCUAGUAAGGGAGGCGAUGGACUGUGGAUCUCAUCAAGACAACGAUGAGGCUAUUGGGUCAAGGCAGAGGCUCAAUGAGUGAGGGGCUGUGUGUUGCAGUGAUUAGGGCUGGCAAUUCGUGUCACGUGUCGUGUUUGUGUCGUGUUUUGA